RNAcentral lists this ribosomal RNA (465 nucleotides) under Vreelandella stevensii. RNAcentral's name for it is "partial 16S ribosomal RNA". It matches the Rfam family "Bacterial small subunit ribosomal RNA", at positions 338 to 795 of the family's 1533-position model. Lineage: Bacteria; Pseudomonadati; Pseudomonadota; Gammaproteobacteria; Oceanospirillales; Halomonadaceae. The record is from RNAcentral.
CCUACGGGAGGCAGCAGUGGGGAAUAUUGGACAAUGGGGGGAACCCUGAUCCAGCCAUGCCGCGUGUGUGAAGAAGGCCCUCGGGUUGUAAAGCACUUUCAGUGAGGAAGAACGCCUGGUGGUUAAUACCCAUCAGGAAAGACAUCACUCACAGAAGAAGCACCGGCUAACUCCGUGCCAGCAGCCGCGGUAAUACGGAGGGUGCGAGCGUUAAUCGGAAUUACUGGGCGUAAAGCGCGCGUAGGUGGCUUGAUAAGCCGGUUGUGAAAGCCCCGGGCUCAACCUGGGAACGGCAUCUGGAACUGUCAAGCUAGAGUGCAGGAGAGGAAGGUAGAAUUCCCGGUGUAGCGGUGAAAUGCGUAGAGAUCGGGAGGAAUACCAGUGGCGAAGGCGGCCUUCUGGACUGACACUGACACUGAGGUGCGAAAGCGUGGGUAGCAAACAGGAUUAGAUACCCGUGUAGUC